RNAcentral lists this ribosomal RNA (520 nucleotides) under uncultured Diversispora. RNAcentral's name for it is "SSU rRNA". It matches the Rfam family "Eukaryotic small subunit ribosomal RNA", at positions 569 to 1088 of the family's 1831-position model. Lineage: Eukaryota; Fungi; Glomeromycota; Glomeromycetes; Diversisporales; Diversisporaceae. The record is from RNAcentral.
AGCAGCCGCGGUAAUUCCAGCUCCAAUAGCGUAUAUUAAAGUUGUUGCAGUUAAAAAGCUCGUAGUUGAACUUCGGAAUUUGCCCAUUGGUCAGGCUUAACUGUCUGAACUGGUGUGACGAGUUCCUACCUUCUGAGGAAUCUUCAUGCCAUUCAUUUGGUGUGGGGGGAAAUCAGGACUGUUACUUUGAAAAAAUUAGAGUGUUUAAAGCAGGCAUCCGUCUGAAUACAUUAGCAUGGAAUAAUAAAAUAGGACGGUUUGGUUCUAUUUUGUUGGUUUCUAGGAUCACCGUAAUGAUUAAUAGGGAUAGUUGGGGGCAUUAGUAUUCAAUUGUCAGAGGUGAAAUUCUUGGAUUUAUUGAAGACUAACUACUGCGAAAGCAUUUGCCAAGGAUGUUUUCAUUAAUCAAGAACGAAAGUUAGGGGAUCGAAGACGAUCAGAUACCGUCGUAGUCUUAACCAUAAACUAUGCCGACUAGGGAUCGGACGAAGUUAAUUUUUAAAUGACUCGUUCGGCACCU